RNAcentral lists this small nucleolar RNA (132 nucleotides) under Castor canadensis (American beaver). Its description in RNAcentral is "Small nucleolar RNA SNORA51 (ENSCCNG00000027266.1)". It matches the Rfam family "Small nucleolar RNA SNORA51". From Rfam's summary of the family: ACA51 is a member of the H/ACA class of snoRNA that guide the sites of modification of uridines to pseudouridines. The record is from Rfam by way of RNAcentral. Lineage: Eukaryota; Metazoa; Chordata; Mammalia; Rodentia; Castoridae.
GGCCUCUUAGUGCUUACCACAGGCUGAGUUCUUACACUGGCUGUAUUCAAAGAGGAGGCAAAGUAAACCUACCCCAUAUACACCUCAGCUCAGGUUCUGUGCCUAGACUGUAUUGUGAAUGGGGAGCCGAAA